GUCGAACGGUGAACUUGGAGCUUGCUCCUAGGGAUCAGUGGCGAACGGGUGAGUAACACGUGAGUAACCUGCCCCAGACUCUGGAAUAAGCGCUGGAAACGGCGUCUAAUACCGGAUACCAGACAGAGAGGCAUCUCUACUGUCUGGAAAGUUUUUCGGUCUGGGAUGGACUCGCGGCCUAUCAGCUUGUUGGUGAGGUAAUGGCUCACCAAGGCGACUACGGGUAGCCGGCCUGAGAGGGCGACCGGCCACUCUGGGACUGAGACACGGCCCACACUCCUACGGGAGGCAGCAGUGGGGAAUAUUGCACAGUGGGCGAAAGCCUGAUGCACCGACCCCGCGUGAGGGAUGACUGCCUUCGGGUUGUAAACCUCUUUCAGCAGGGAAGAAUCGAAAGUGACGGUACCUGCAGAAGAAGCACCGGCUAACUACGUGCCAGCAGCCGCGGUAAUACGUAGGGUGCGAGCGUUGUCCGGAAUUAUUGGGCGUAAAGAGCUUGUAGGCGGUUUGUCGCGUCUGCUGUGAAAAUCCGGGGCUCAACCCCGGACUUGCAGUGGGUACGGGCAGACUAGAGUAUGGUAGGGGAGACUGGAAUUCCUGGUGUAGCGGUGAAAUGCGCAGAUAUCAGGAGGAAC
This 635-nucleotide ribosomal RNA is filed under the name Janibacter sp. CS_4210. RNAcentral describes it as "bacterial SSU rRNA". It matches the Rfam family "Bacterial small subunit ribosomal RNA", at positions 61 to 707 of the family's 1533-position model. Lineage: Bacteria; Bacillati; Actinomycetota; Actinomycetes; Micrococcales; Intrasporangiaceae. The record is from RNAcentral.